Molecule: ribosomal RNA, 153 nt
Filed under: Streptomyces sp. SID5785
Lineage: Bacteria; Bacillati; Actinomycetota; Actinomycetes; Kitasatosporales; Streptomycetaceae
Description: partial 23S ribosomal RNA
Rfam family: Bacterial large subunit ribosomal RNA
Source: RNAcentral
AUCUAAGCGGGAAGCCUGCUUCGAGAUGAGUAUUCCCACCCACUUGAUGGGGUAAGGCUCCCAGUAGACGACUGGGUUGAUAGGCCAGAUCUGGAAGCCCGGUAACGGGUGGAGGUGACUGGUACUAAUAGGCCGAGGGCUUGUCCUCAGUUG